Molecule: ribosomal RNA, 468 nt
Filed under: uncultured bacterium
Lineage: Bacteria
Description: partial 16S ribosomal RNA
Rfam family: Bacterial small subunit ribosomal RNA
Source: RNAcentral
GACGAACGCUGGCGGCGUGCUUAACACAUGCAAGUCGAACGGAAAGGCCCUGCUUUUGUGGGGUGCUCGAGUGGCGAACGGGUGAGUAACACGUGAGUAACCUGCCCUUGACUUUGGGAUAACUUCAGGAAACUGGGGCUAAUACCGGAUAGGAGCUCCUGCUGCAUGGUGGGGGUUGGAAAGUUUCGGCGGUUGGGGAUGGACUCGCGGCUUAUCAGCUUGUUGGGGGGGUAGUGGCUUACCAAGGCUUUGACGGGUAGCCGGCCUGAGAGGGUGACCGGCCACCUUGGGACUGAGAUACGGCCCAGAAUGCUACGGGCGGCAGCAGUGGGGAAUAUUGCACAAUGGGGGGAAGCCUGAUGCAGCAACGCCGCGUGCGGGAUGACGGCCUUCGGGUUGUAAACCGCUUUCGCCUGUGACGAAGCGUGAGUGACGGUAAUGGGUAAAGAAGCACCGGCUAACUACGUG